RNAcentral lists this long non-coding RNA (241 nucleotides) under Hordeum vulgare. RNAcentral's name for it is "long non-coding RNA (HVUL_LNC001000)". Lineage: Eukaryota; Viridiplantae; Streptophyta; Magnoliopsida; Poales; Poaceae. The record is from RNAcentral.
GAGAAACAAUGAACGCAAGAGAAGGAAUCAAUCCAAGCAUGCUUAGCGCUGCGUAAUAUGGCUCAAUCACAAUCUGGCCACCCCAGGCUCCCUUGCAUAUCAUACGUGAAUGGUAUGAGGAAAGACAUACAACAUAAUAUGGAUGCAAGCCGGCCGUCGACCAUGAAGGAGCACGGGCGCUGCCGGCCGUCACCGAGGGAAAGCCACGGGCGCCGCCGGCCGCCGCCGAGGGAGAGCCACG